UACGUAGGGUGCAAGCGUUGUCCGGAAUUAUUGGGCGUAAAGAGCUCGUAGGCGGUCUGUCGCGUCGGCUGUGAAAACUCGGGGCUCAACUCCGAGCUUGCAGUCGAUACGGGGCAGGCUAGAGUUCGGCAGGGGGAGACUGGAAUUCCUGGUGUAGCGGUGAAAUGCGCAGAUAUCAGGAGGAACACCGGUGGCGAAGGCGGGUCUCUGGGCCGAUACUGACGCUGAGGAGCGAAAGCGUGGGGAGCGAACAGG
This 255-nucleotide ribosomal RNA is filed under the name uncultured bacterium. RNAcentral's name for it is "partial 16S ribosomal RNA". It matches the Rfam family "Bacterial small subunit ribosomal RNA", at positions 524 to 776 of the family's 1533-position model. The record is from RNAcentral.